GGAAGUGUAAAUUUCCACAACGAAAAUAUGAAACAGCCUACUUCAUAGGUAAUAUAUGACUCAGAGAAAUAUACCAAAAUAAAUCAUUUUGGAAAACUGAUAUUAGAUAAAUAAUAGCCCAUGUGGGAAAAAAAUCCAAUAAUGGGCAAAUGGCCAUAUGAUUUUUAUCCUUUUUCUUCUCUUAAUUUAGUGGUUUAUUUGGAAUUCCUUAUUCCAGUUUGCUGUAUCAAGAACCUGGUGCUGCUGCUUCAUUCCCCACCAUGUGUAGGUGAUUAUGGAGGAGGAUGGCUGUCUGUCAAAAGCAGGUUAAGCACAUCAUUCAAAUCAUGAUUUUGGAGGUGGGUUAGAAGACUUUAAUAAAGCAAAAUGGAAAAUUUCUCA
This 381-nucleotide long non-coding RNA is filed under the name Sus scrofa (pig). RNAcentral describes it as "lncRNA (ENSSSCG00025042853.1)". Lineage: Eukaryota; Metazoa; Chordata; Mammalia; Artiodactyla; Suidae. The record is from RNAcentral.